Molecule: ribosomal RNA, 248 nt
Filed under: uncultured bacterium
Lineage: Bacteria
Description: partial 16S ribosomal RNA
Rfam family: Bacterial small subunit ribosomal RNA
Source: RNAcentral
UACGUAGGAGGCAAGCGUUGUCCGGAAUCACUGGGCGUAAAGCGCGUGUAGGUGGUGCGACAAGUCUGCUGUGAAAGCGCCUGGCUUAACCGGCGAGGUCGGCGGAAACUGACGUACUGGAGGCCGGUAGAGGGGGUGAAUUCCCGGUGUAGUGGUGAAAUGCGUAGAGAUCGGAGGAACACCAGUGGCGAAGGCGGCCCCCUGGGCCGGGCCUGACACUGAGACGCGAAGGCGUGGGAGCGAACGGG